Small nucleolar RNA from Naja naja (Indian cobra), 161 nucleotides. NCBI's taxonomy places the organism in Eukaryota, Metazoa, Chordata, Lepidosauria, Squamata, Elapidae. The record is from Ensembl.
UAUGCACGCUUGUUAGAACUCAGAGCUGAGGAUGGUUUCUAUCCAAAGAACUUAUGAGUGUAGGAAGUGUGCUACAUCAUCUUCUGCAAGUCUUUUCGCUAACACCAUAAGAACCUCUUGGGUUCAAUGAAUGGGGUUUGAUAGUGAUUCUUGCUACAUAU